Molecule: transfer RNA, 65 nt
Filed under: Ludioschema sulcicolle
Lineage: Eukaryota; Metazoa; Arthropoda; Insecta; Coleoptera; Elateridae
Description: tRNA-Pro
Source: RNAcentral
CAGAGAAUAGUUUAUAUAAAAUUUUAAUUUUGGAGAUUAAUGAAAAGAGCAACUCUUUUCUCUGA